AGGAUAUAUGUGGACCUCCCAGAUGCUGAGAAUCGGAUGAAAAUUCUAAGAAUAUUUCUGGCCCAAGAAAACCUAAAUUUUGUAUUCCGAUUUGACGAACUUGCCAAUGCAACUGAAGGAUAUUUAGGGAGUGAUUUGAAGAACCUUUGUAUCGCAGCGGCAUAUAGGCCAGUGCAAGAACUUCUAGAAAAAGAAAAGUGGCUAUGUACAAAUAAUGCACCAUGAGUAUUGAGGCCUCUGAAUUUGGACGAUUUUAUUCAAGCAAAAGCUAAGGUAUGGAAAUAAUCUCCUUUUGUAGUUCCAAAUUCCUAUAGUAAUUGAUUGAAAUACUUGAAAGAGAAGUGCCCAGUGUAUAUUCUCUCAGGUCAGACUAAGCGUUUGCUAGGGUGAUGCCGUUGAAACCAAUAUCGAUAUCUAUACAAUUAUUCUAUAAU
This is a long non-coding RNA of Magnolia sinica, 434 nucleotides long. RefSeq lists it as uncharacterized. The transcript is spliced from 3 exons. The record is from RefSeq and is a predicted model, not a curated record. NCBI's taxonomy places the organism in Eukaryota, Viridiplantae, Streptophyta, Magnoliopsida, Magnoliales, Magnoliaceae.